RNAcentral lists this ribosomal RNA (493 nucleotides) under uncultured bacterium. Its description in RNAcentral is "partial 16S ribosomal RNA". It matches the Rfam family "Bacterial small subunit ribosomal RNA", at positions 29 to 507 of the family's 1533-position model. The record is from RNAcentral.
ACGAACGCUGGCGGCGUGCUUAACACAUGCAAGUCGAACGGUGAAGCGCCUUCCUUUUUGGUGGGUGUGGAUGAGUGGCGCACGGGUGAGUAACACGUGAGUAACCUGCCCCCUUCUUCUGGAUAACCGCAUGAAAGUGUGGCUAAUACGGGAUAUUCUGGGUCUGUCGCAUGAUGGGUCUGGGAAAGAUAUUGUUUCGGUGGGGGAUGGGCUCGCGGCCUAUCAGCUUGUUGGUGGGGUGAUGGCCUACCAAGGCGGUGACGGGUAGCCGGCCUGAGAGGGUGGACGGUCACACUGGGACUGAGACACGGCGCAGACUCCUACGGGAGGCAGCAGUGGGGAAUAUUGCACAAUGGGCGCAAGCCUGAUGCAGCGACGCCGCGUGGGGGAUGGAGGCCUUCGGGUUGUAAACCUCUUUCGCCAGUGAAGCAGGCCUGCCUCGUUUGUGGGUGGGUUGACGGUAGCUGGAUAAGAAGCGCCGGCUAACUACGUG